Molecule: small nuclear RNA, 332 nt
Filed under: Chinchilla lanigera (long-tailed chinchilla)
Lineage: Eukaryota; Metazoa; Chordata; Mammalia; Rodentia; Chinchillidae
Description: 7SK RNA (ENSCLAG00000021945.1)
Rfam family: 7SK RNA
About the family: 7SK was discovered as an abundant small nuclear RNA in the mid-70s but a possible function has only recently been suggested. Two independent studies have found that 7SK RNA binds the CDK9/cyclin T complex (known as elongation factor P-TEFb).
Source: Rfam by way of RNAcentral
GGAUGUGAGGGCGAUCUGGCUGUGACAUCUGUCACCCCAUUGAUUGCCAGGGUUGAAUUGGCUGAUCUGGCUGGCUAGGCAGGUGUUCCCUUCCUCCCUCAACACUCCAUGUGCAUCCCUCCCAAAGCUGUGCACUCAGUGGAAGAGGACAAUCACCCCUGACAGAGGAGGACUGUUCUCGGUCACAGGUAGAGUAGUAGCUGUGCUCCCCUGCUAGAACCUCCAAACAAGCUCUCAAGACAAUGAGGCUAUAAGUUACUUUAUGAGUAGGGUCUCCAGAAAUUCAGAAACCAGAACAGCCUGAUAAAGGCUCUGUCAGGAGGCUGAUAUUU